GAUGAACGCUAGCGGCAGGCUUAAUACAUGCAAGUCGAGGGGCAGCACGGUUAGCAAUAACUGGUGGCGACCGGCGCACGGGUGCGUAACACGUAUACAAUCUACCUUAAACAGGGGGAUAGCCUUUCGAAAGAGAGAUUAAUACCCCGUAAUAAAUUGAACGGCAUCGUUUGAUUUUGAAAGCUCCGGCGGUUUGAGAUGAGUAUGCGUCUGAUUAGCUAGUUGGUGAGGUAACGGCUCACCAAGGCGACGAUCAGUAGGGGAUCUGAGAGGACUAACCCCCACACUGGUACUGAGACACGGACCAGACUCCUACGGGAGGCAGCAGUAAGGAAUAUUGGUCAAUGGAGGCAACUCUGAACCAGCCAUGCCGCGUGCAGGAUGACGGCCCUAUGGGUUGUAAACUGCUUUUAUACAAGAGAAAACCCUGGUACGUGUACCAGGUUGAUAGUAUUGUAAGAAUAAGCAUCGGCUAACUUCGUGCCAGCAGCCGCGGU
This 497-nucleotide ribosomal RNA is filed under the name uncultured bacterium. RNAcentral's name for it is "bacterial SSU rRNA". It matches the Rfam family "Bacterial small subunit ribosomal RNA", at positions 28 to 521 of the family's 1533-position model. The record is from RNAcentral.